UAUAGAGUUGAGCUAGAAUGCUAUCGAUAGCAAACCGGCACUUUUGCCACCCAUUUGUUUUCGAUGAUGGAGCCUCCAAAUCGACGAUCAGUACCGUUGAACAUGAUCUAUACUACUUGAAGUAUUUAGAAAUAAAAUUUCAAAUUUUUUCGACAUUAUUUGCCUCAUGAUCAAAGGGUUUCAAAAUUUGUAAUUUUAAUGGUCGAUAUGAGACGUUUUCUCGUUUAACGGCGUAAAGAUAUCCAAAUCAAUUGAAUUUUUGUUAGAAAAUUCUUUAAACUAUUUAAAACAAGAUCUAUACUCUUGAUCUUGAUUACAAGACUCCUAUCAUCAUUUUUUUAAGAAUACUCAUUUUCAGCCGUUCAUUUUUGUGUCCACUCGAUGGAUAAGAGAGCAAUAUCUAAAAUGUAUGAAAUUUAAUUUCUAAAUACUUCAAAUGGUAUAGAUCAUGUUCAACGGUGCCGAUCGUCGAUUUGGAGGCUCCAUCAUCGAAAACAAAUGGGUGGCAAAAGUGCCGGUUUGCUAUCGAUAGCAUUCUAUACUACUUGAAGUAUUUAAAAAUCAAAUUUCAAAUCUUUUCGACAUUAUUUGCCUAAUGAUCAAAGAGUUUCAAAAUUUGUAAUUUUAAUGGUCGAUAUGAGGCGUUUUCUCGUUUAACAGCGUAAAGAUAUCCAAAUCAAUUGAAUUUUUGUUAGAAAAUUAUUUAAACUAUUUAAAACAAGAUCUAUACUCUUGAUCUUGAUUACAAGACUCCUAUCAUCAUUUUUUUAAGAAUAUUUAUUUUCAGCCGUUCAUUUUUGUGUCCACUCGAUGGAUAAGACAGCAAUAUCGAAAAUGUAUGAAAUUUAAUUUCUAAAUACUUCAAAUGGUAUAGAUCAUGUUUAACGGUGCCGAUCAUCAAUUUGGCGGCUCCAUUAUCGAAAACAAAUAGGUGGCAAAAGUGCCGGUUUGCUAUCGAUAGUAUUCCAGCUCAACUCUAUAUAUAU
Molecule: long non-coding RNA, 986 nt
Filed under: Ananas comosus (pineapple)
Lineage: Eukaryota; Viridiplantae; Streptophyta; Magnoliopsida; Poales; Bromeliaceae
Description: long non-coding RNA (ACOM_LNC009966)
Source: RNAcentral